Molecule: ribosomal RNA, 613 nt
Filed under: Triticum aestivum (bread wheat)
Lineage: Eukaryota; Viridiplantae; Streptophyta; Magnoliopsida; Poales; Poaceae
Description: partial small subunit ribosomal RNA
Source: RNAcentral
AAUCCAUUCCCCACCAGCACCUUCCGGCGAACCACCGCACCUCUCCCCGGCGAAGCAGCAGCGUCCGAUGGCCCCCAAGGCGGAGAAGAAGCCGGCUGCCGCGGAGAAGACUCCGGCGGCCGAGAAGACCACCGCGGGCAAGAAGCCCAAGGCCGAGAAGCGGCCGCCCAAGUCCAAGGAGGGCGGCGCCGACAAGAAGAAGAAGAAGGCCAAGAAGAGCGUGGAGACUUACAAGAUCUACAUCUUCAAGGUGCUGAAGCAGGUGCACCCGGACAUCGGCAUCUCCUCCAAGGCCAUGUCCAUCAUGAACUCCUUCAUCAACGACAUCUUCGAGAAGCUCGCCGGCGAGUCCGCCAAGCUCGCCCGCUACAACAAGAAGCCCACCAUCACGUCCCGGGAGAUCCAGACCUCCGUCCGCCUCGUCCUCCCCGGCGAGCUCGCCAAACACGCUGUCUCUGAGGGCACCAAGGCCGUCACCAAGUUCACCUCCUCUUAGAUAGCAUGUUCUCUGUCGUCCUGGUGGAUCGAUGUUUCUCUGUAAUGGUCAUCUGUUCGGACCAUGUUGGUCUUGUAAUUUGUGCUGGUUGUGUUGGAAGACAUUGUUUCAUUAUCU